UCCACGGGGUAGCUAUGCCAUAGGGACUAUCAUGUCGAAUACCAUCAUUGUUCAAGGAGUUCUCAAUCUGCUGUCUGGAAACACACUAGACAGCUGGAUUCUGCCACCUCAAGUUGACACUGUGUCUAAGGAUCCCCAGGAAGCAGGCAAACUUGAACUUGCAUCUAAGGAAACCAGGAAAAGGAAGCAGGAUGACAGAAGGAGGAGCUCCGAUACUGCCUCUACCAUCUGAGGAAAAAUCACCUGACAUUUAUUACUUACCAGAGAGCAGGUUGGAAGCAGUCAGCCUCCUUGCUCUUGGUCUGGGGACAAGCUGGAUGCAAUGAAAGCAGCUGCUUUGCCCUCCCGUCGCUGCCUUCUCCUCCGUGGUGAACUGUGGCCAUUCUUAAAUAGUGACCCAAGAAUCCUGGGAAACACACCCCCUCUGCAAACUGAAUCUUCUCUGAGGAGUCUAUAGAUCUAACUAACAAUGGAAUCCACACAUAGAUCUUCCUUCUGUCAGAACAGACCAGUGGUAAGAGUUGGGAAGGACCUUUUUGGAAGGCUAGAGCAUGAGGAGACCUGGGGAGGGCCAUAGGGCCUUUAUUUCUCAUGCUAGCAUCUCCUGGAACAGUUCUAAAGGAA
Molecule: long non-coding RNA, 624 nt
Organism: Peromyscus leucopus (white-footed mouse)
Lineage: Eukaryota; Metazoa; Chordata; Mammalia; Rodentia; Cricetidae
Exons: 4
Source: RefSeq, a predicted model, not a curated record